UGAGUCUAUAUGCACAUAUUAUCAGAUCUUAUUGUGAUGAUAUCUCUCUAAUUGUCACUACCUCUGAGGCAAAACAAUCAGUUGAGCUAGGCUUUUGAAUUGAAUUUCCAUGUUGAUUUUGUAUUUUUGUGGCCUUCUGUUUAAGGUUAGGGUAAUUGCAAUCCUGCAGAUAUUCUAUGUUUUCCUGAGAACUUGCAUGUUUUCUCUCAAUCAAUGGCUUGAUGGUUUACUUAGGAUGCAAUUAAAUGCACGUAUUAUCAGAUGUAACGUGAUGAUAUGUGCAUUUAAUUGCAUCCUAAGUAAACCA
This 307-nucleotide unclassified non-coding RNA is filed under the name Hevea brasiliensis (rubber tree). Lineage: Eukaryota; Viridiplantae; Streptophyta; Magnoliopsida; Malpighiales; Euphorbiaceae. The record is from RNAcentral.